AUUUUGUUAUUUACAUGACAUGACAUGACAUGAUAAGGAUUCUGGAAUGACCUUGUUAAUUGUCCAAGAUUUCUGUAUUUGUAAUCAUCUGGGUUUUAUCCAAUAUGCAUACAUUAUGUAACAUCGAAUUAUAACUAAAAACAGCUGUUUAUAACUUGUGAAAAACAAUGUCAUUGUCACGCCCAUAUGCUCAUUUUUCCCCCUCCCAUCCUGCUAUGAAAAUGGGUUAUAAAUAUAACUGACGUAUGAAUACAAUUUGAAUUGGUUAUUGAACACGUCUCUGCUAUUCAUUUCCAAUUUCCAGAGCUCUGUAUGAGUUGGCAAAUAUCCAUCAUCCACAAAGGGCCCAGGCUGAUUUUAUCCCCAACAAAUUGGUGUCAGAAGUUUGGGUGCAAUUAGGAACGGAGUUGCAGGUAAGGGGGUCUUUAGCCCCUUGGGGACACAACUUCUGGAAUUUAAGGGUAUCAUGACGGAGUAUUUCUGUUGUGUGUCCUUAGGGGGUUGGGGACCUUUGCCUGCUUCUGCCAUCCUCCCACACAUUGCAUUUCUUGUUUUAAUGGGGUUUUUCACUAUUUACAUUUUUAAAGGGGAUUUUCACAGGAUAAUGUCUUUGGUAGACAUGGUAUUU
Pelobates cultripes (western spadefoot toad) is the source of this 628-nucleotide non-coding RNA. The record is from the annotation of a GenBank genome assembly. Lineage: Eukaryota; Metazoa; Chordata; Amphibia; Anura; Pelobatidae.